UGUCACAGGGAUCCGAGGCCUGCGGAGAGAGAGCAAGAAGGGCCAUCAUGCUCAGGAGGGAUGAGAAAGCCACAGCAGAGAGCCUGAGAGGGCGCAGGGCAGCCCCUGGGGCCCCUCCCAACAGGCAGGGCCUGUGUUUAAGGUGUUGCCAGGCAACUUGCCACAUGGGGCUGGAGGCUGUGGUUGGGGCAUCAGCAGUAGCGAUGGAGAAGCAGAGCCCAACACUUGGGUGUGACGGGGUUCCAGCUCAGUUGUGGGCUUUUUGGACAGCCGGAUCUGGAGACAAGUCCUGGGUCUGCUACUGACGGUGUGACACUCUGAUUAAGUCAUUUCCCCCAUCGUGACACUUCAUUUCCUCAUCUGUAAAGUGGGAGUAAUAAUAUCUGUUUCAUAAGAUCGCAAAAAAGAAACUGAGGCUUGUUGAGGUAACGGGAACCACUAGGACUGGCCCCCAGGUCUCUGGCUGUGAAAACAACGCUCUUCCCACUUCACCAGGAAAGAGGCUUCACUUUGUGACUGACCAGUGAAGGAGGCAGGACCCUCUAUGUCAUGGGGAAAAGCGCACAUUCAAUCCCAGAAAACAGGCCCAGAGAGUGUCUUUGGGGCAGCACAGAGGAGAGGAGCUAAAGAGCCGUGUUCGCUGUCGGCAGCCAGAUUUUGCGGGAGAAGUGCCCAGCCCCACAAGUGGACAGUGAAGGCGGUAAAGAAGAAAAGAAGCAGCUGGAACUACGCAGGGCCUGAGGCAAGAAAAAGAAACUGAGGCUUGUUGAGGUAACGGGAACCACUAGGACUGGCCCCCAGGUCUCUGGCUGUGAAAACAACGCUCUUCCCACUUCACCAGGAAAGAGGCUUCACUUUGUGACUGACCAGUGAAGGAGGCAGGACCCUCUAUGUCAUGGGGAAAAGCGCACAUUCAAUCCCAGAAAACAGGCCCAGAGAGUGUCUUUGGGGCAGCACAGAGGAGAGGAGCUAAAGAGCCGUGUUCGCUGUCGGCAGCCAGAUUUUGCGGGAGAAGUGCCCAGCCCCACAAGUGGACAGUGAAGGCGGUAAAGAAGAAAAGAAGCAGCUGGAACUACGCAGGGCCUGAGGCAAGGUGAAGAUGAGGGAAAGGCUGGGGAUUACCAGUCAGAAGGCCAGUGAGAGAGCAGACAGCUGUUGGUGGAGGCCUGUUAGGUUUAAGGCAGCAAAUCUUCCCUAACCCUGUCUCUGCCCGUACAUCCACUUCCAGGAAACAGCACCAUUAUUCACCUUAGUUGCCCAAGCCCGAAGCCAGGGGGCGAUCCUAGGUUCUUACCCAUCUAUGCCCAGUCAGUGAAUCCUGUUGAUUGUAUCUUUCUAACCUCUUUCAAAAUCCACUUGCUUCAUGCAUCUCCUUUCUUGGGGCUUUCAUUCUCUCCCACCUGGAUCACUAAAACAACAUCUCAACAACCACCACCUCUGCAGCCAGCCCCAUUCCUUUCCCGCAGAGCUGUCAAUUCAGGCGUUCCUAACAUGUUAAUCUGAUUUCGGGUAAAACCCUUCCAAGGUCUCCUGUGGCCUGAAGCCCUGAUUCUCCCCCUGGAGGCACCUUAGAAUCACCCAGGGAGUUUUCAAGACCAUCUGGACUCACCAAGUCCUCAUAUCCUGAGAAUCAGAUGAAACUGGUUUGGCAUAGGGCACAGAUUUUUAGUUUUUAAAGCCGCCCAAGGUGAUUCUAAUGUGCAGCCAGGGUUGAGAACCGCUGGCCUCCAGGAUGUAAAGUGCAGGUUCCUCUGUGUGGUGUGCAGGAACUCCACGUCAUUCCAUUUCUCAGCAAAUAUUUACUGAGCGCCUGCUGUGUACCAGACACCUCACUGGCCCCGAGUCUAAGCGAAGAACAACAUUAAGGCCCCUCAUGAAGCCGCUUGUCCAUCUGGCUCCUAGUAUUUAAGCCUCGUUUCUGCCUCCUCACACCUCCUGUCUUUGAUCUAGUCAUCAAGACCAAUUUGGGAUUCCCCAAACGUGCCCUGCUGUAGGCUCAGGGCCUAUGACUAUGCCACUCUUUCAACCCCAAAUUCCAGCCCUCAGCCUCCUGGUCUAGUUAAGACUCAGCCUGAGGACCACUUCCUCUGAAAAGGCUCUGCCUGACCCCACCCCCAGAUCUGCCCUGAUUAUCCUCGUACUCGUCACUGUGGUCACUGUCCAUUUCACGGUCGGGCGCCCUCGGGAGACUGCGAGCUCCUUGAGGGGAGGGACAGUGAGUGAACCGUCUCCGUAUCCCUGAUGGGGGUGCUGACUGCCUGGGGAAUCCGCAUGGGAGUGAACUCGAAUGACCCACAUAUUCACAUAGGGCAAACUUGGUGUGAAUAAGGUACGAACAGACUGGAAACUAGUUAGAGGAGGACUGCAGCUCCAGAAGCUUCAAGAAGCCAGGCUCUGGACAGGAGGUUCAAAGACAGACAGCCCUAUCACCAGCAGGGAGGCAGAGAGAGACACACAGUAUCAGAACUGAGUAAGACAGUAGGGGCAGCCUGUUGCCUUUGAAGAGGUGGCCUUGUGUGGUGGAAAUAACAUGAUCUGCGGUCUAAUUUGUAUGUUCCAA
Equus caballus (horse) is the source of this 2560-nucleotide non-coding RNA. The record is from RefSeq and is a predicted model, not a curated record. Lineage: Eukaryota; Metazoa; Chordata; Mammalia; Perissodactyla; Equidae.